UUAAUAUUUCAUUGACGUAUCAAGUUAACUAUACUAGUUAAACUACAUAUGGUAGCCCACGCACAUUGUGCCUAAGUGGCUAAACUUAUAGUAGGGCCUUUAACAAGCCCUAAAUCAGUAAAUUUAGCCCUAGACUCUUCCUACAAGUCAAAGGCCCUGCCCACAACACCAAUGUCCUAUAUUAGCUUAGCUAGGAGACUAGGCCCCAGAAAACAAGUAAACAGGGGUGGCUAAAAUGGUGCCAGCAGUCGCGGUUAUACCAUUACCCCAAGUUAAUUAUCUCAAUCAGGGACAAACCCCAAACGACUAAACAAUUAUCUUCUUAUGUAAAAAAUAAAUUUCAACUAAACCCGAACGAGUCCUAUAAUCCUGUCCCAACAAACCACAACCUCAAAACCCGGAUUAGAUACCCGACUAUUGUGUGGCCCAACAUAUAAAAGAACACUACAAGCGAAAGCUCAAACCUCAAACAAUGUGGCGGUGCUUAACUCCCUAUCAGGGGAUCCUGUGUCUUAAUUCGAUAAUCCACGAAAACCUUAACUCCCCUAGCCCACAGCUUAUGUAUGGCCGUUUACGCUUGCUCAAAAAAGACCCCCAAAGGAAGCAACAGGGCCCCACUCCCCCUAAUUCAGGUGACAUAUAGCCAAUGGUGAGCCGACUCAUGGGAUACAAAUAAACACACUACCAAACUUAAGCCUUAAACCCUUAACAAAGGAGGACUUGAAAGUAAGACCCGCAUCCAUAAAACCGGUCUGAACAAGAACUUAAGCGCGCACAAAUCGCCCGUCACUCCGGCAGUAAAGCCGGAUAAGUCGUAACAUAGUAGGGGUAAUGGAAAUUGCCCCUAUCAUGUC
This 854-nucleotide non-coding RNA is filed under the name Potomida littoralis. Lineage: Eukaryota; Metazoa; Mollusca; Bivalvia; Unionida; Unionidae. The record is from RNAcentral.